UACGAAGGGGGCUAGCGUUGCUCGGAAUCACUGGGCUUAAAGGGCGCGUAGGCGGGCCUUCAAGUCCGGGGUGAAAUCCUCCCGCUUAACGGGAGAAGAGCCUCGGAGACUGAGGGGCUCGAGGGAGGUAGGGGCGUGCGGAACUAUGGGUGGAGCGGUGAAAUGCAUUGAUAUCCAUAGGAACUCCGGUGGCGAAGGCGGCACGCUGGACCUCUUCUGACGCUGAGGCGCGAAAGCCAGGGGAGCAAACGGG
RNAcentral lists this ribosomal RNA (253 nucleotides) under uncultured bacterium. Its description in RNAcentral is "partial 16S ribosomal RNA". It matches the Rfam family "Bacterial small subunit ribosomal RNA", at positions 524 to 776 of the family's 1533-position model. The record is from RNAcentral.